RNAcentral lists this unclassified non-coding RNA (218 nucleotides) under Phellinidium sp. RNAcentral describes it as "partial contains 5.8S ribosomal RNA, internal transcribed spacer 2, and large subunit ribosomal RNA". The stretch from base 1 to 52 matches the Rfam family "5.8S ribosomal RNA", at positions 103 to 154 of the family's 154-position model. Lineage: Eukaryota; Fungi; Basidiomycota; Agaricomycetes; Hymenochaetales; Hymenochaetaceae. RNAcentral also lists the same sequence under 1 other name. The record is from RNAcentral.
AACGCACAUUGCGCUCUUUGGUAUUCCGAAGAGCAUGCCUGUUUGAGUGUCAUAUAGACUCAUCCACUCGGGUUUCCGAGUUGGGUGCUUUGGACGUCUGCCAUGCUUUGGCUCGUCUUAAAUGUCUAAGUGGAAUGCGUAAUAAGUUUUCGCUCCCUCCACUCUAAUACACUUUUAUCUCUGACCUCAAAUCAGGUAGGACUACCCGCUGAACUUAA